Molecule: unclassified non-coding RNA, 2185 nt
Filed under: Manduca sexta (tobacco hornworm)
Lineage: Eukaryota; Metazoa; Arthropoda; Insecta; Lepidoptera; Sphingidae
Description: uncharacterized LOC115446367, transcript variant X3
Source: RNAcentral
UAAUUAUGUUGUAUAACUCAAUGUUUUUACUCUGGAACAAGAUGUCUAUUGUGUUGUAUUUUGAAUUUUGAGUAGCGGUUUUCAACCGUUUUACCGUCGUGAGUGCCGUGGGAAAAAUAUUUGAAGUAAACAGAAAAGUUGGUGUAUUAUUUGUUUUGUGAUCUUAUUUAUUAUUUUUUUUUGUUAAUUUCAUACGUCGAUUGAGUCAUUACCUUUACUUUGUUGUUUAAUUUCAAUUAAAAGUUGCUAUUAUAGGACAUUUGUGCUGCAGUUUUUUCAAUUGUUCCAUCAGUAGACAAUAGAUAAGCAAAUCCCUAAAAUUGCUACAAAAAUGGAGUCAAUGGAAGACCGCAUUAACAAGCUAAGGGAAGAGCGAAUAGCGAGGGAAAAGGCGCGGAUUGAGAAGUUACGGGAGCUGAAUCUCAAAAAGUACAACAAAAUUGAACCACAGUUGAAGAAUGCGCCAUCAAAUACAACAAUAAAUAAACCAAUUAAAAAUGACAAAUUUGAUCAGCACAAAAAGGCAUCUUCCGUGGUAAAAAAUAAUUUUCAUGUCAAUGGUACUACUAAAAAACCAAUAACAAUGCCAAUUGUUAAAAAGACUUCAUCAGCAAUAGAUGCGAAACCAAAGAAUAAAUUUGAUACUAAUCCAAAAAUUGAUAAAUCAAUGACUGAAAAACCCAAAAGUGAGGGUAAUAAGAUUGCAAAUGCUACAAGCUCUAAAACUGCCUUGAAUGACCGAAAAGAGGUAAAAUCAGCUAAAUUUGAGCCUAAACUUGCCAGGAAAAGCCUUGCUGUUCCUAAAAGAGCCGUUUCUCAACCUACCACAGUGAGUCGUAAGAGUAUGCUACCUAAACCAUUGCAGACAUCCUCGGAAACAGUGUUUGACCGUCUCUACAAACCGAAAAUGGUGACUAAGGAGCACCUUGAUUCUGUGAAAAAGUUGCAAACUGAUCCAAAUUAUUUGCAAAGGGUUAUUAAAAACUCAGGACUAAUUUUAAAUAAAAGGCACACUUUAUUUGAAACAAAACAAAAGCCAAAUGUACCAGUACGUAGGUCGAUAUCAGCAGUGCAUUUCAAACGAAUAAGCAAGAAUGAGAUCCAAAACUGCAUCCAUAAAUGGUCAUCUAUUGGUGAUAAAAUGAAUAAUGUUCACUUAAAAGACAUUAAUGAAGAUGAAAAUAUAAAAGAGGACAAGGUUGUCUCUGCAGUUAAAUCUGAAAGGAAGCGAGUGACUUUCAUGACACCAGUGCCGCAGAAUUUCAACACUCCACGCCCAGAAGAGCUUCAAGCAAGGCUUAAAAACUGGCUCUACAAGCGUGGAAAGUCGCUGGACUCAUACCAUCAUUUACAGUGCUUCGGUAUUAAUCACCUAGUGCCUAGGGAUUUGAAGCUUGACUUUGAGGCUAUUAAAUAUGAUGAUGAUGAAAAUAAGGAGAAUAUUGCACUGGAAUCAGACAGUGAUGAUGAUUCAGUGAGCGAGAUGCAUGGGAAAGAGAGUGUUGUUGGUAUGUGGAGAAGGGCCAGCAAUAUAAGUGAGAGUGUAGACCUGAAUGAAACAACGGACACAAUGGUGACUACUGAAGAGCCAGAUAAUGUUGAUGAUGUGGUUGUCGGUGCUUUGAAUGAUCUCACCGAGUUAUUGAAGGAGGGCUUCGAAUGGGAACAAUGCGCGCGCUGGCUCCGCGCUAUCCGAGAGCGUUUCCCAGCUGCCAGUAAUACAGCCGCGUACUGGGAGUGCCGCGCCGCGCUAGAGGAAACCCGUGGCGAUUUGCCUGCGUCCGUGCAAUGUUGGGAGGAAGCAAUCGCCAAGGGUACAGAGCAUUCAGUAGUCGAGGCGAAUCUGGACCAGUUACUGGACAAGUUCAUGCAAUUAAAGAUAAGUCCGAACAGUGGCAAGCGGCGACAAGCCGACCCAAAGAUGGUGGACGUCAAAAACGUUUUCAAAAGUACCAUCAUACGGUUCGCAGUACAGCAGGCUAAAUUGUAAAACAAGUAUUGUUAUUGAGUUACAAAGAGGAAUAUUGACAUCAGUUUUGUGGCGAAAGUAAAUCAUACGCCAAUCCAACGGCAGUCCUCGCUUCACGGCUACCCCUGUGCGUCGCAGCGGUCGGCUCAGCACCCACCCCACGCCGCUCCGCCUGUGCUCAAGUGUUAAACAGCUGCGAGAAACGUACGGUGCGGG